This 253-nucleotide ribosomal RNA is filed under the name uncultured bacterium. Its description in RNAcentral is "partial 16S ribosomal RNA". It matches the Rfam family "Bacterial small subunit ribosomal RNA", at positions 524 to 776 of the family's 1533-position model. The record is from RNAcentral.
GACAGAGGGUGCAAACGUUGUUCGGAAUUACUGGGCGUAAAGCGUGUGUAGGCUGCCCCGCAAGUCGGAUGUGAAAGCCCUUGGCUCAACUGAGGAAGUGCACCCGAAACUGAGUGGCUUGAGUACUAAAGAGGGUCGCGGAAUUCCCGGUGUAGAGGUGAAAUUCGUAGAUAUCGGGAGGAACACCGGUGGCGAAGGCGGCGACCUGGGUAGAUACUGACGCUGAGGCGCGAAAGCGUGGGGAGCAAACAGG